This 254-nucleotide ribosomal RNA is filed under the name uncultured prokaryote. RNAcentral's name for it is "partial 16S ribosomal RNA". It matches the Rfam family "Bacterial small subunit ribosomal RNA", at positions 525 to 777 of the family's 1533-position model. The record is from RNAcentral.
ACGUAGGGGGCGAGCGUUGUCCGGAUUUAUUGGGCGUAAAGAGCUCGUAGGCGGCUCAGAAAGUCGGGUGUGAAACCUCCAGGCUCAACCUGGAGACGCCACCUGAUACUGCUGUGGCUAGAGUCCGGUAGGGGAACACGGAAUACCCGGUGUAGCGGUGAAAUGCUUAGAUAUCGGGUGGAACACCAGUGGCGAAGGCGGUGUUCUGGGCCGGAACUGACGCUGAGGAGCGAAAGCGUGGGUAGCAAACAGGA